This 603-nucleotide long non-coding RNA is filed under the name Nicotiana benthamiana. Its description in RNAcentral is "long non-coding RNA (NBEN_LNC040481)". Lineage: Eukaryota; Viridiplantae; Streptophyta; Magnoliopsida; Solanales; Solanaceae. The record is from RNAcentral.
CAGGUUGUCGCAUUUCUCCCUCAACGUCGAUCUCUCUAGAAUCUCCUUCUUCCGUCGGCGAACUCAUUCCGAUCUCUUUCUCUGGCGAAUUCCACUCGUAAGAAACUCUCCAAUCUCUCUUCUGUUCCAAUAUUCUUUUCUUUUGUAAUUAAACUGAUUCUAUAAUCAAAUUUUCUUCCCGUAUUGUUUUAAAUUUAAGCUGGCAUUACAUGCUGAUUGCUUGUAUGAAAAAUCAGUGUAGUAAUUAAUACAAUAAAAAGGUAGAACCUUUAUCAUUGUUUUAUGGGUCCUGCUCUUGCAUCACUUUAGUGGAACUUUGCGACUAUCAAGUCAUUUUUCCAUUCUUGCUAAUUAUAUUAAAAUUCCAGGUUUCAUUUUUUUCUUCUCACGGGCCAUAAGAUCAAGGUUAGUUUGUUAGAUUACUUGAAAAUCAAUAUCUCUAUUAAAAGUAACUAAUAACUCGCAAUUAUUAGUUUCUUUUUCCUUGGAAGGAGCAAUUGAUAGGAACAUGUUGCUGUCGAGAAUUGUGGUAGAAGGUUAGUAGGCAGUCGUGUGUGUGUCUUUCCCGUACCAGUAGGAUUAGUUUUUAACCUUGUAUGUGAU